This 497-nucleotide ribosomal RNA is filed under the name uncultured bacterium. Its description in RNAcentral is "partial 16S ribosomal RNA". It matches the Rfam family "Bacterial small subunit ribosomal RNA", at positions 28 to 507 of the family's 1533-position model. The record is from RNAcentral.
GAUGAACGCUGGCGGCGUGCCUAAUACAUGCAAGUCGAGCGAACGGACGAGAAGCUUGCUUCUCUGAUGUUAGCGGCGGACGGGUGAGUAACACGUGGAAAACCUACCUAUAAGACGGGGAAAACUUCGGAAAACCGGAGCUAAUACCGGAUAAUAUUUUGAACCGCAUGGUUCAAAAGUAAAAGACGGUCUUGCGGUCACUAAUAGAUGGAUCCGCGCUGCAUUAGCUAGUUGGUAAGGUAACGGCUUACCAAGGCAACGAUGCAUAGCCGACCUAAGAGGGUGAUCGGCCACCCUGGAGCUGAGACACGGUCCAGACUCCUACGGUAGGCAGCAGUAGGGAAUCUUCCGCAAUGGGCGAAAGCCUGACGGAGCAACGCCGCGUGAGUGAUGAAGGUCUUCGGAUCGUAAAACUCUGUUAUUAGGGAAGAACAUAUGUGUAAGUAACUGUGCACAUCUUGACGGUACCUAAUCAGAAAGCCACGGCUAACUACGUG